CCCUUAGACGUUCUGGGCCGCACGCGCGCUACACUGACGAAGGCAACGAGCUUUCCUUUACCGAAAGGUACGGGUAAUCUUUUGAAACUUCGUCGUGCUGGGGAUAGAUCCUUGCAAUUUUUGAUCUUAAACGAGGAAUGCCUAGUAAGCGCAAGUCAUCAACUUGCGUUGAUUACGUCCCUGCCCUUUGUACACACCGCCCGUCGCUACUACCGAUUGAAUGGUUUAGUGAGGCCUUCGGAUCCGCGACUCGUUUUGUGGAGAAGUUGGACAAACUCCGUCAUUUAGAGGAAGUAAAAGUCGUAACA
This 308-nucleotide ribosomal RNA is filed under the name uncultured eukaryote. RNAcentral's name for it is "partial 18S ribosomal RNA". It matches the Rfam family "Eukaryotic small subunit ribosomal RNA", at positions 1470 to 1796 of the family's 1831-position model. The record is from RNAcentral.